AAGAGAUUGUCAUGGGGGGAGGCAGAAGAAAACAGGUAUGUUGGCCAUCAUGUCUAAAGCUACCACGCUUGCUAGCCUCUGGUGUUUCAAAAACUAUAAGGAUGACACAUGGAAUGUGGAAGAAGUAGAAAAUUGGGUUUGGGUCAUGGGGUUGAGAAAAGGACUGAUGCUUGUAGGCUGCAGAAUGGAUGGACAUGGGGACAAGUUAUCUGAAGGCCUUGGAGAGGAGGGUCAGUUUUGUGUGGUGCAGCAGUAGACCUGGUUCAGGUGGAAGCAUAGGCUUUGGAUUCUGCUGGCAUCUGAUAAAUAUUGGCUACUUAGACUAAUGUAAGCUUUAUAAGGACACAUAAAGAGCUCUGUGAAUGGUUGAUCUAGUCCCGCAUUCUCCUUCCCAAAGUGGUCAGCCUCUGUGAAAUCCACAAAGUUGGACAUAAAGGUCAUAGCCUCUUGCCCACGGUUGCCUCCCAUCCAAUGGAAUUCAUUGACAUAUGAAACAUUUGGCACUCUCAGGUGCUGUGCAGCUAUGGACCAUCCAUCCACUUUUAUCCAGGUCAAGAAUUCCCACAUGAGCAGUAGAGUCAGGAAAGAGGCGGAAGAAGAGAGGCAGAGCUGCCAAUGGGCUCAUGAGAGAGCAGGAGGCACCUGCUGAGGCCACACAGAGAAAGGACAACACACACUUUUUCUCCAUCUGGCUCCCUUGAUGGUAUUCUACUGCAGGACCCACCUUUCUUCACUUUCCUCAUUGGCUGAUAGGCCUUCAGCCUAGCUCUGCAGCCUGGACAGCAAACCAGAGUGCAAAUUGUUCUGUGCUCUCAACCAAUAAGAAUCCUUCUUGCUUUUCUAGAGCUGAGGGAUGUGUCACUUAUGCUCUGAAGCUGAAGAAGGGGCAGGGGUGUGGGGUAGCUUCAGAAUUUGCUCCAAGUUCUGUUUUCACAUCACGUUUGUCUCAGUUUCCUUCUGAAAGGGAGCCUAAGCCUAUAAAGAAUGGCGAUUUUUUUUCUUGUUAACUGACUUGUGCUCUGCGUUCCACUUCUCUUUAAAACGACUGUGUUUGUGCAGCAGGAUUCCACCACUGCCCCUUUCUCAGCAGCAACAUCUCUCUUUAAAAACUCCCGAGUUCUAAAAGCAGCUGGCAGGAUAAGUUGGAGGGGGUGGGGAAUGCUUUUUAAAAGAAAGAGAAAAGGCCCCAUUGCACACACGGCUCUCUCCGUAUGCUUCUUGGAUCACAGCCAAGGUAUUAGGAAAAUAAAUUCUGCAAUUAAAAGGUUUAACAAUAAGAGAGAGUUGAUUCUUGCAUUUCAUUUUUUUGUUUAAUGAAGGUAACAAUGGGUUUUCCAAUAUCCUUGUGAAUUUGACAGCCAAUUCAACUGUAUAGUGGGGUUUUUUUUUAUAUAAACAAAUUUGCAGUAUGAUAUAUUGGAAAUCUGAAAGAGAGAGCCAAUUUAUUUCUCUGUAGAUCAAUCUGAAAUAAAAUGUUUUCCAGCUUUUCGUUCCUCACAAAAUGGUUUGGCAAGUUUCCCCUUUGGAAAAUGAUACUGCCAUCUGCAGCUGCUAUGCUAUAGAUUGCCUGUUGGUAAACAGUUGCACAAAUCAUUUAAAUAAAUGCAGAUGAAAACUGAAUCCGGUAUUGAUUUUCCUUGAAUACCUUUUGCCAGAAGGAAUGGUUGUAAAUUGACAAGAAACUGAAAGUGUCCUUGACCGUAUUGCACAGCACAAUGCAUAUCACUGUAUUCAGAAUCCUUUGAUGAAAUUUCAGUGUGCUCAUUUUACCAAAAAUCCAGACUUUAAUAAUUCCAGUUAGUAGCAAUAGCCCUGAUAUACAUUUAUUAAGAGAAUUCCAUAGCAUGUACCACAAAAAAAUGGUCACAGGGCAGUAUACAAAAAUAGGGUAACUGUAACUCAUAAUAUUAAGAAACAUCAAAAUCAUUAUCAUAAGGAACAUAAAUAACAAGGUCAUAAAAAUGACAACCCAAUUAAAAAGGUGGGCUUUUACCUGUCUUUGUGAGACACAUCAAUGGGAAGGUCAUUUCAAAGACAAAGAGCCAGCAAUAUCCCAAAAGCUCCUUAUGCAGUUUAUUUAAUGCAAGGACCAACAUCUUCCUCUGAUCUUAAUGCAUGGAUAGGUUGAAAGAGGAGAAGUUCUAUCAGAUAUUUGGGAAGGGACCCGAAUGUCAUUGUGUAAGCUUAACUGGCGGUCCCCUCACUGUGAGAAGCGAAGUUACAGAGAACCAGGCAGAGGGCCUUCUCUGUAGUGGCGCUUGCCCUGUGGAACACCCUCCCAUCAAAUGUCAAAGAAAUAAACAACUAUAUGACAUUUAGAAGACAUCUGAAGGCAGCCCUGUUUAGGGAAGUUUUUGAUGACUGAUGUUUUAUUUUUUAAUCUUCUGUUGGAAGCCGACCAGAGUGGCUGGAGAAACCUAGCAAGAUGGGCGGGGUAGAAAUAAAUAAAUAAAUAAAUAAAUAAAUAAAUAAAUAAUAAUAAUAAUAAUUACUGAGCUAAGCAAUAGUAUGCAGAUUUGUACCUCUAAUUUAUCCAGUGCACAAUAUUAUUUCACCCCUUUGGGGUAUGGAGGUAUCAUGCAUACAUUUGUACAUUUCCCAAUUCUAUAUGUUUUUUAAAUGGCUUCCCACAAUUUCCUGGGAACUAUGGGCUGGAACCAUGGGACGCGGGUGGCACUGUGGGUUAAACCACAGAGCCUAGGGCUUGCUGAUCAGAAGGCUGGUGGUUCGAAUUCCCACGACGGGGUGAGCUCCCGUUGUUCAGUCCCAUCUCCUGCCAACCUAGCAGUUCGAAAGCAUGAAGUGCAAGUAGAUAAAUAGGUACCGCUCUGGUGGGAAGGUAAACAGUGUUUCCGUGUGCUGCUGUGGUUCACUAGUCAUGCUGGCCACAUGACUCGGAAGCUGUACGCCGGCUCCCUCGGCCAGUAAAGCGAGAUGAGCGCCGCAACCCCAGAGUCAUCCGCGACUGGACCUAACAGUCAGGGGUCCCUUUACCUUUACCUUUAUGGGCUGGGAACUUCCUGCUAGUAAGACUUUUGGACCUAAUGAAGGCUCAAGGAGCUUCCACCCUCUUCUCUUUGCACACGUACUUGUUGCUGUUGAUGGAAGACCCAAGUUUAAAUGACCCAAGAUUACUUACAGGCAUAGAGAUUUUGGCUUAGAUCAUAUUUAUUACUUAUCAGUGGCAUAGCAUGGGAGCCAGGGGGGCCGUGGCCCCAGGUGCAGAAUCUGGGGGAGGGGCACACGAACCAGGUGCCCCCUGCAGAGAUCCAGCAGUGAGGGCUGGGUGAAUGCAGAGGGUGAAGAGCAGCCUCCAUGCAACGCUCGAUGCACAAGUGCCCACCCAUUGCUGGCAAGGGUUGGGUAAGCAUGGAGGUUGAAGAGCACCCUUCGUGCCCUGCCCUCACCUGACUCAUAGGUGGCAGCAUUGGGUACUGACCAACAGUGCUACACCCCUGUUACUACUACUACUACUACUACUACUACUACUAAUUUAUUUAUACCCCGCCCAUCUGGCUUGGUUUCCCCAGCCACUCUGGGUGGCUUCCAACCGAAUAUCAAAAACAAUACAGCAUCAAACAUUAAAAACUUCCCUAAACAGGGCUGCCUUCAAUUGUCUUUUAAAAGUAAAAUAGUUGCUUAUUGCCUUGACAUCUGCUGGAAGGGCGUUCCACAGGGCAGGCGCCACUACCAAGAAGGCCCUCUGCCUGGAUCCCUGUAACUUGGCUUCUCGCAGUGAGGGAACCGCCAGAAGGCCCUCAGCGCUGGACCUCAGUGUCCGGGCAGAACGAUGGGGGUGGAGACGCUCCUUCAGGUAUACUGGACUGAGGCCAUUUAGGGCUUUAAAGGUCAGCACCAACACUUUGAAUUGUGCUCAGAAACAUACUGGGAGCCAAUGUAAGUCUUUCAAGACCGGUGUUAUGUGGUCUCGGUGGCCACUCCCAGUCAUCAGUCUUGCUACCGCAUUCUGGAUUAGUUGUAGUUUUCUGGUCACCUUCAAAGGUAGCCCCACGUAGAUCACAUUGCAGUAGUCCAAGAAGGAGAUAACUAGAACAUGCACCACUCUGGCAAGACUUCUUAGUAUUAUAUUUAUUACUUUAGGGAGGACUUCGUUCAGAAUCCCUCUAAUUUCCAAAAACUUGGCGACAUCAUUAUGUACCGUAUUUUUCGUUCUAUAGGACGCACCUGGCCAUAGGACACACCUAGUUUUAGAGGGGGAGAACAAGAAAAAAAAAUCUCUCCCUCUCUGCGCAGUGCCCCUUCAGUGAAGCAGCAGGAGAAACUGGGCCCCUUCCAUUUCUCCUCCUGCUUUGCUGAAGGGGUGCUGCACAGAGAGGGAAAGCUGCGCAGCGCCUCUCAAGCGAAGCCAGGAGAGCAAGAGGGAUUGGUGCGCACCGAUCCCUCUUGCUCUCCAGGCUUCAGCGAAAGCAACACGAGGCUUCGGGUGGCGAUCCCUGAAGCCAGGAGAGUCUUGAUCUCCUGGCUUCAGCGAAAGCAACUCGAAGCCUCCGGAGUGUGGCGGGAGCUUUGGAGGCUUUGUGUUGCUUUCGCUGAAGCCAUGGAGCCUGCAUUCGCUCCAUAAGAUGCACACACAUUUCCCCUUAAUUUUUGGAGGGGAAAAGGUGUGUCUUAUAGAGCGAAAAAUACGGUAGAUAACAUCAUUGCAUGGAGCUGCUUUUCACGUGGUGAUUUUGUAGUUCAUGAACCAGGAGCAAAGGGCCAGCUAUCAUGGUAAAAACAAGCCUCCAUUUCCAGAGCUCGUGGGUGCCAUGUUCUGGGAAGGGCUAUGAAUUUUGUGCCAUCCUUGUGACCUUCUAGAGGCAACCUAUUAGAAAAUAGGAUACUGAACUAGGUGACCUUUUGCUGUGAUUCAGCAAGGCAGUUGCUUAAAUGUUCUUAAGUCUCCCUUAUCCGCCCCCAAGCAUUCACAUGUAGAUCCCUCACUGCCUCCUUUGCAAAAUGAAAAAGGUCUUUAAGAUGGGAUAGUUUUAAGAGUUCACGGGACUUUUAGAAGGAGUCAAAAGGCUGUGUUCUUCUAUGGCUAAUCCUGAGUCACUUUGGCGAGAGACAGCUGCCUUGUAACAGACCAGUCAUAGGAAAGAGGGUUGUUGUUGCAUUUAGCUCGUUGGGGGCAACCGGUGUCUGUCUGCCUGGCUGGAUUUGGCAGUAGGUUUUAAAUGGAUUAAUUUCCUUUCUACUUAAAUCCUUAAGAACGACUGAGCAGAGGGGCAAGGGGCCUUUGAACCCUGUGACAUGUGAGACAUGUGAGAAGCUAACAAGGCUGCCCUGUGAACAUAUCCAAGAGCAGACUAAAUAAGGGGUAGCAUUUGCAGAAAUGCUUUUGGAAUGGCAAAAUCAAUGGGGUUAUUUGCUGACAUAUUCCAGUCCUCCCCCUAAGCUGUGUAUAGUACAAGAGAUAGUCAUCAAAGUAUUGAUCAACCAAUUAGUCAUCACAAGUAAUUACAGCCAUGGACUCUUGAAGAAAAUUUAGUUCACUUAAUUACUCUUCAGACCCAAGCCCCGCUGUUUAUUUUGGGCCCAGGAAUGCUUCGCUUGUGUAAUUAAUCCGGAGGGGGAGCAAAAACUCCAGCAGGCAGAAGCAACCGUAGCUGUAUAUUUCAUAUUUGUUACAAAUGAGCUCAGGUCGCAUCAUGCCAGUCAGCAGGCAGGCAAAUAGAUGACACUUGGCUCCUGUUGCUCUCAAGGAGGAUGUCAGAUGUCAUGUCCAAGCUAUUUGUUUCUCUACUGCUUUUGCAGGUUUCCAGGCAGAAGGCUUCCCCUACCCUCUUCCUCCGACUGUGUUAAGAAAUAUGUUUGCUGCUUUGUUUUGCAUUGCUGUGACAUUGGGAUGCUUAAGAUCAAAACCUUCCUAUCUGAGGAGGCAGCUCUGGCCAAUUGCUGUCCAUCAGAUAAUACUUAUUAACCUCAAGCCUCUCUCCUUGUCAACUGUUUUUACAGACUAGCUCUGCUUGCUGCCCUGGGGUUCUGCAAAAACUCUGCCAGGCUCCACAAAGGUGAGUGAUGCUUUGGUGUGUGCAUGCAACAAAUUUUCUUCUAAAAACGGUUUGAUUCUCCCAGAGAACUUCUUCUUUCCUUUGACGUUUUCAUUAAAAAAGAGAGAGGAGAAAAGAUAGAAGUUGAAGAUAAUUUGGCUUUAGAAUCUCCAUACCUAAAAAAACCAAUCUGCUUAUUUAUGCUGCUGCCAAAUAGCUGUAGAUGAUCAAGUGAACAGUCCCAGCUUCUCUUCUGGGAUGGCUUUUUCCCAGUAGUGAUAUAUGGAAGUGAGAGCUGGACCAUAAAGAAGGCUGAUCGCCGAAGAAUUGAUGCUUUUGAAUUAUGGUGCUGGAGGAGACUCUUGAGAGUCCCAUGGACUGCAAGAAGAUCAAACCUAUCCAUUCUGAAGGAAAUCAGCCCUGAGUGCUCACUGGAAGGACAGAUCCUGAAGCUGAGGCUCCAAUACUUUGGCCACCUCAUGAGAAGAGAAGACACCCUGGAAAAGACCCUGAUGUUGGGAAAGAUUGAGGGCACAAGGAGAAGGGGACGACAGAGGAUGAGAUGGUUGGACAGUGUUCUCGAAGCUACCAGCAUGAGUUUGACCAAACUGCGGGAGGCAGUGGAAGACAGGAGUGCCUGGUGUGCUCCAUAGAUCUUAGAUUUUUAUGUCAAUUAGGAGGGAAUAUUCUGGAGCAGGCACUGGGAAAUGAUGGGAAAUGGGGCAGAGAAAAGGAUUGUUGUAAUAUUCUCACACAGUGCAAAAAACCGAAUAUAACUGGGGUGCUAGGCCCAAGAAAUAUUGUGUGUGAAAUUCACACUGACAUUUCUCCAAAAAUGAAAUGUAAAGGAAAUUCAGAUUUUGGGCCUCAGGAGAAACAUCUUAAAGAUGACAAAGGAAGCUAAGAGUGUUUUCAUAGAAUAGAAUCGUAGAAUUGGAAGGGACCCAGGGGUAAUCCAGUCCAAAAUGGCAAAAAUGUAUAAAACUAAAUCAAAUAAGUGUUGGAAAUGUAAAGAGAAAGAAGGUUGUUUUUAUCAUAUGUGGUCUUGGAUUAAGGUUAAAGCUUACUGGGAAAUGAUAUAGAAUGAAUUGAAAAGGAUGGUUUAAAUAAUGUUUGUACAACAAAAAACAGAAGCUUUUCUUCUGGGAAUUAUGGGGACAGAACUACCCAAACUGUAUAGAAACUUAUUCAUGUAUGUUACUACAGCCGCAAGAAUGUCACUUGCCCCAAAAUGGAAAGAUGCAGAAGUCCCAGCAAAGGAAGAAUGGAUACAAAAAAUUAAGGAAUAUGCAGAAAUGGCGAAACUUACUGGAAGAAUAAGAAAUCAAGAUAGCAAUUAUUUUUUUUGUAUAAAAGAAUGGAAAUGGUUUAUUGAAUAUGUACAGACAAAUUGUAAACAGAUAAGAACAUUGGCAAGAUUAUUGUAAUAACCUGCAGUUUGAUAAGAGUAUAUAUUUAAAGUAGAUGAAUAAAUGAGCAAAUUAACUAUUUUGGAUAUGCUUGUUGUUUAGUCGUGUCCGACUCUUUGUGACCCCAUGGACCAGAGCACGCCAGGCACUCCUGUCUUCCACUGCCUCCCAUAGUUUGGUCAAACUCAUGCUGGUAGCUUCGAGAAGACUAUCCAACCAUCUUGUCCUAUCGCCCCCUUCUCCUUGUGCCCUCAAUCUUUCCAACACCAGGGUCUUUUCCAGGGAGUCUUCUCUUCUCGUGAGGUGGCCAAAGUAUUGGAUAUGCAGAAGAUAUUAAAAAUAAAUUUAAGGGACCGCAGAAGGGGGGGGGAGAAGUCAAGUUUUGAAGGGUUAAAUGAUUGUAAAAUUAGUGAAGUUUAAAAUUGUAAAAAUACUGAAUACAUCUCAAAUUAUUGAGAUGUAUGUAUAUAUGGUAAUCCAGUCCAACCUCCUGCAAUGUGUUACCUCAGGGCCUUCUGAUGUCUACUGCCAGUACACAGUCUGCCACCCACCAAUUUUGCAGGUGGAAGGGGAUGGUCUUUGCUGGUCACAGGAGAUCAGCUCAUCCAGGAUAGCUGAGAAGAGGAAGAUUUCUUCUUGGGCUGUGUAUGUGAUAAAGGGGAGCCAUACCGGG
RNAcentral lists this long non-coding RNA (8075 nucleotides) under Podarcis lilfordi (Lilford's wall lizard). Lineage: Eukaryota; Metazoa; Chordata; Lepidosauria; Squamata; Lacertidae. The record is from RNAcentral.